This 543-nucleotide ribosomal RNA is filed under the name uncultured fungus. Its description in RNAcentral is "eukaryotic LSU rRNA". The stretch from base 191 to 336 matches the Rfam family "5.8S ribosomal RNA". Lineage: Eukaryota; Fungi. The record is from RNAcentral.
CUUGGUCAUUUAGAGGAAGUAACGGUCGUAACAAGGUUUCCGUAGGUGAACCCGCAGAAGGAUCAUUACAAAUCGCUGUGGGUGGGUACUUGUACCUAUUCACAUAUAUGGUCUUUGUCAGUGAAAGCUGGCAAUUGACAAAUAUACGCUUGUCUAGUUUGACAGUUUUACAGUGAAUCCUAAUAUAUACAACUUUUAACAAUGGAUCUCUUGGCUCUUGCAACGAUGGGGAACGCAGUAAAGUGCGAAAUGUAGUGCGAUUUGCAUGAAUCUGUGAGUCACCUAAUUUUUGAACGCAACUUGCGCUCCGUAAGGAGCAUGUCUGUUUGAGUACCGACCAACCUACUACCGCAAGGUGACUUGGUUUGCUAUCCCUUUGGGGGAUCAAACUGAAAUGCAGCAAGAUAAAGAGAGAGGAUUAAUAUCCAAGUGCUAGAGACGCGAGUCUUCUCUUGGAUAUUGCAUCUGACCUCUAAACCUUCUCAAUGGUCUCAAAUCAGGCAAGACUACCCGCUGAACUUAAGCAUAUCAAUAAGCGGAGGA